Molecule: long non-coding RNA, 507 nt
Organism: Phalaenopsis equestris
Lineage: Eukaryota; Viridiplantae; Streptophyta; Magnoliopsida; Asparagales; Orchidaceae
Exons: 3
Source: RefSeq, a predicted model, not a curated record
CAUAAAAUGUGUGCUAUGUAUGUAGAUGUUCCCAAAUUUUGUGUAACAAUUCCUGCGCCGAACUUUGGCGCCUUCUGAUGCGAAUGUUCAUUGAAGCUCCACGUCGAGGAAAAUGGAAGCUAAUCUCUCCUCCGCGUUCUCUACUUCAUCAGUAGGAUCUAGCCAAACUUCUUCAGUGUUCGACACGAGCCGGAGACGGAGAGGUCGGUGGUUUUACAGAGAAGGCGAAGCGGAGAUACUCAUACCUUCCAGUAGAAUCCAUUCUAAGGAGACAGUCGAGCAUAUCAGCUGGAGAACAAUCUGAGCCCCUUCUUUUCUGUUUGAUAAUAUUUUUCAGCAUGGAGAUAAUCUUCUUCCUCGCCUACUUACUUGAAGGCCUCGAUAAUAGUUAGUGCCAGGAAAGUUGAAUGGCAAUGAGAGAGUCCCUGCUAGAAGCUUAUAGAUUUCUGUCAUUAGAGAUUCUGAAAGUGGACUUUUUUCAAUUCCAGCUAUCAGUUUCAGUGCUGA